Coregonus clupeaformis (lake whitefish) is the source of this 532-nucleotide long non-coding RNA. RefSeq lists it as uncharacterized. The record is from RefSeq and is a predicted model, not a curated record. NCBI's taxonomy places the organism in Eukaryota, Metazoa, Chordata, Actinopteri, Salmoniformes, Salmonidae. The transcript is spliced from 3 exons.
CACUGCAUGAACAUUCAAACUAGCUGAGGGAAUAGUUUCUCGUCAACAAAUUGUCUUCCCCUUGUAUUGCUAGAAUUUUAAAAAGCAAGAAACACACAAGACAAUAUAGCUAGCUACAGCAAGUCGUUGGGCCUUUGCGUGGAAGAGAACCGUUAUAAACAGCUAGCCAGGCAGGUUUGAGAGAAGGCGCCAGCUAACAGCUAAUGUUAGCUUGCUGACUUCUUGUCUUGGACACACUGUAUCUUGUCAUUUCGGAGCUGAGCCAUUUCCGUAGGAGAAUUAAACCCUGGCUACUGAGUGGAAGAGAAGUUGACUGGUGUCUGAAGAUGAUCAUAGAAAACCUAGAUGCCUUGAAAACGUGGCUUUUCAAAACCCUCGAACCAAUUUGUGACGCGGACCCUUCUGCCCUCGCUAACUACGUCGUUGCCUUGGUGAAGAAAGAUAAAAGUGAGACGGAGCUCAAAGCCCUGUGCAUCGACCAGUUGGAUGUAUUUCUACAGAAAGAGACGCAGACCUUUGUUGAUAGACUGUU